Molecule: non-coding RNA, 5139 nt
Organism: Cinara cedri
Lineage: Eukaryota; Metazoa; Arthropoda; Insecta; Hemiptera; Aphididae
Source: the annotation of a GenBank genome assembly
AAAAAUGAUUUAAAUAUUUCUUUUAAUAAUAAAUAAUCUUAACUUCAAUUAGUUAGUUUAUACAAAUUUAAAUUAUUUACAAUUAUAUACGUACCAAUGUUUUUGCGGUGUUUUUUUUAUGGAAAUUAUGAAGUAUUAUUACGUGAAUAUCAUUAUCAGCUAUCACAUAACGAAACGGGCAUAUGGCCAAGGAAUAUGAAAUAUAUUGGAAUACCCACACGAAUCUCGUAUAGUAAGUGUAUGAAAGUCUAAAUAUAACGGUACAAAACACGUUUAUUAGUGUACUUACCUAUACAUAGUAAAGGGUAAUUUUAAAACAGUAACUUUUAACUUAACUGAGUAUUAUAAUUUUCUUAAAAAUUGUGCAACUUAACUUAUAAGUUCCUCAGAUUCGUUUAAAACUUUAAGUUAGCUUCGUUAAUUUUUUAAAUAACUUUACUUGACCAAGUUGAACAAAUUGGUUGACUUGCUCAGCUUUAAUUGAUAUUACCUAUAUAUAUAUAUAUAUAUAUAUAUAUAUAUUUUAUAAAUCAAUACCUAUUAUAAUUUUAUUUAAUUAAUGCUGUGUAAAAACUAACUUCUCGUUUUAUUUUUUUCUCUUUAAAAUGACUUAAUUUUUUUAAUAUUUUUCUUUCGGCUAGUGUUAAUUAAAUACGAAUUAUUAGUAGGUAGCAUUUUAAAACCAAUUAUAUGUAUAUAUAUAAAUUAACUUAAUUAAAUACCAAUUGGGAGGGUCACAGAGGCCCGCGACUGUAUCGAUAAUUAAUAUUAUAUGGUAUGUGUUAAAUUGUCACAAUCGAAGAAAUUAUUUUGCCGUAGCAAAGUUAGGUAUACACUUAAACGUUCAUUUAAAUUUCAGUUACUCUCAGAUAUUUUUUAAGUAUUUAGUUCCGAAUCUUCAGACAAUCAAACCGAACGUGGUAAUGUUCGAUUGAUUCUCAAUGUAAUGUUAUAAAGCAAUAUUGCAUACGACUUUAUGAUUUUAUUUUGAAAUGUGAUCCUAAAAAGACACGUGUUGUUAUUAAUACAAAAACACGACCUUCGUUACGAUUAAAAACAAAACUAAAAAUGCACAUGUAUAUUUUUGAUUCAGAAUUUCCAAAAGUGCAACAUUCUGUUCUAGAAAAAAAAAUAAUAUUGUUAUUGCAUUGAUAAUAUUAUUGUUUCUCCGGGAAGAGGCCGUUUUAGAGAAGAAAAUAUACGGACAUACAUCGCGCGAUGUGUAGGCCACUGUUGUAGGCGAAAAGUUGGGAAGGUAGAGGGGAAAUUUCAGUUAUAUCUGUACGCAACGAUUAACCAUCGCUAACGAGAAACGACUCCUAGCAGAGUUCGGUCAACAAUAUAUACAUCGUAUUAUGGAAAAAUAAUUGCAUAUGGAGUUUUUCCAAUAAACGUAAAAAAAACACGGAAAAACCGUAUGAAAACGGUACAACAUUAAACAAAUAUUAUUAAAGAAAAUAUAUAAAGUCUAUUUAAUUAAUUUACUAUAAUACGGCGAAACAUAAAACAAAUUAAUUGUCGGAUACAACCCAGGCUUUUGCAAAAUUAUUUCUAUUAACCAACGUAUCGUAAUUUCUAGGCUCACCAGAUGAGUAUCGUACGUUCCACGAAAUGUUUUUCGAGUUUUGUUUUGUCAUAUUCACUAAACAACUAAACAACAGUGGACUACCCACUUUCCACCUAUUUUUUUUUUAUUCACUACUGGCACGGUCGAAACCAAAAAGAAAUAUGGGUAAAAAAAAAUAAUAAAAAUUGCCACGGGCAACGCCGAGCGGGACAGCUAGUAAUAUAGUAAAAACAUGUAUAUAUAUAAUACAUAAACAGUAAAUAUUAUCUAACCGAAAUUCAAUACUCGCUGAUGACAUAAAACAUUGUAUUUUUUAAAUGAUAUUAUGCACAGAUCUUACUGGUCGAAAGUACCUGUAAUAGCUCUGUGUACACUGAUAAAAUAUGAAAAGAGCGUACGGCUAUUGCAUCAUGUGCAAAUUAAUUAUUCACCACAGACGCGACAUACUGCAGCUUCGUUAAAAUGUAGACACUUCACGCAGCGUAGUCGUUAUGAUGGACAUUGAACGAUUUUGCUAUGUAUAUAAUAUUACGAUAUACCUUUACUUGUACAUCAUAAUAUAACACCUUUAGGUAUAAAUAUAACUCCGUUACUGGGAAAGGUGCUUGUAUAACAAUAUUGAACCGAUAAACUGAUACAAUUAUUGAAAUGGACUUUCCGACAAAAAGGGCUCUCACUCUCUGAAAAUUUAAACUGUUCGGAUAUCGCAACAAACAGAUUUGUAUUAUUCUGAUAAUUGUAAAAGCGGAUUAUGCCAUAGGCGGAGAUUCCGGGGAGGGAGGCUAGGGGUGGAAUUAAAUUCCGAAAUUUUCCAUGACCCCCUAAACACGAUUUAAAAAAUAAAUAAUUAUUCUAGGCUUCCCUGAAAAAUUAUAAAAUAUAUGCCCCGAAAUUACAUUGACCUUUUAUGCCUUAUUACGUCUUUAUGCGUGACAACGAAUGGGUAUACUGCACUAUACGGGUAUAAUACGAAAUAUUUUUUUUCUUGCUCAUCACUUAAAUACCCCCCCCCCUCCUCAAAAAACAAAAUUCAAUCAAAUCUCCGUCUAUGGGAUCAACACAGGUUUUAAUAUUAUGAACUUUAGUCGAGUAUAUUCAUCUAAUAAAAUUCGCAUUAAUUAUUUACCUAACUGUAUUAUAUAGUUUCACCAACGACGAUGCGGUGUUUUUACAUUUUAAGUUUUUUUUUUUUUUUGGAAUGGGUACUCGUACAAAUGUUACUAAAGAUCCUAAUCAACGUACGCCAUCAUUUUAACGUUAUUAUAUAUAUUGUGACCACCGACCAUACACGCUAUGUAUAAUAAUAUUAUAAUAUUAUAUCGUGAUAAUAUAAUAAUAAUAAUAAUAUAAGAUAACCCGACGCCUAUGUUUUAUAUCUAUACGGAUAGAUAUCGCGGAGAAUAUAAAAUACACUUUUUUAUUACACCAUAUAAUACACAUGAUGUAUAUAUUUUUUUUCCACGAAGAAGUUUCAGUAAAAUAGCGAAAAACCUAAUACAACACGAGCGCAAAAGGUUCUGGAACUGUUACUGUAUAAACCGUUACUUUUUUUUUAUACGUUCGUGUACUUCACUUUUUUCGUUUACAUAAUCUAAUGAUAAAGUGCGACCCGUCCGUCCAAGGCUUUAGCGAAAAAUCCAUACGUAACUGUACGCUUGUCAACCCAUUUUUAUAAUAUCUGUUUCACCUGAAGUGUAUGUAUUUUAAUGUUGACCCAGUAUGUUGUGUAGCGCAAUAAGGGAACUUUCAAUUAAUACAGUCCGCCGAAAUUUGUUUUCGAUAAAUAAAGCUGUUCCUCGCCGUUUACUGAUAGAUAAGUAUUUGUUUUUUUCUCGGAGAACACGUUUUCGGUUUGCGAAAAUGCUCCGAUUAGAAAAUACCAAAAAAAAAAAAAAAAUAAAACAAACACUGAAAAUGAAAUAAAAAAAUAAAUACUUUCGGAUAAAAUCACUUCGCCAAUAACACGAGUAUGCAGCCCCCCUCGGACACUAUUACGGCGUACAUCCGUCGUGCCACUGCACUGCCUGCUCGCAUUGAUUCAGGCGCAUACGUCACAGACAGUACAAAACAACGAAUAUAAAUAUGCAAUUGAAAUCUAAUGUAAUUAAUUAUAUAACAAUUGUAAUAAAAUUAUUAUUCACGUGUACGUUUUACAGCCGUCGCACGUUGCGCAUAAUCGUCCGCGAGUCUCCGUGUAGGAAUAACUGUAACGGCAACGCGGUGCGCGCCACGCGUUUUGAACCCGCCGAGCAUUACUAUAGUGUUCGGUAAGUAAAGUAUAAUAUUAUAACACGCGCUUACAUGCGUGUGUGUAUAUAUAGUUACGUAUAAUAUAAUAACAUUAUAGUGGGUAUUAUAAUAAUGUGUCUCGUACACACACCGCCAUCGUCACUGCGAUAAUAUAUGUAAUUACAAUACUAUACCAGUAUACGUCACACAUAUAUACGUACAGAGUCUUUGUAAAGUUUUGCGCACACGCGUAUAUUGUGUCCCGAAGAUGGCGCAAAUAACGGGUCGGUUGCAGUCCUACUGAUCGUAAGUACCAAUAUUACACCUACGCCCUACGCGCAUCCAACAUACAUACAUAUAUAUAUAUAUAAUAACGUAACACGACUAAUAACACGAUAUUUAGAUACCCGCAUCUAUAGGGUAUCCGCGUAUCUGUAAUUCAGACGUCGGUUUUCAUAUAUAUACAUAUCCUGUACAAUAAAAAAUGUCACCCAUCGGAUGGUUCACGCUUACACUACACGUAUCGUACACAUUACCGCGGAUUGUCGUCGCGCAUCGUCUAAGAAAGUUUUCGAUACGUCCAUGCGCCGUAAUAUUAUAAUACGCGUGCGUAACAGAUACACCGCAACGUAUAUUAUAACCUUCGAUCGUCGCAUUAUUAAUUAUAAAUGCUAAAAAAACCAACGUAUAAUAGGCGCGUGCAUUACACGUACCGUCGUAACACAUGAUCAUAUGUACGGUAUACAGUAAAUAAUAAACGUACACACCAUACAAGUUUUACUGUACAAUCGAUUAUAUUGUUAUUAUGGAGUGCGUUUUCGUUUCCUAUAGACCGUUUAUAGAUUAUUAAAUGUCCGUCGUACCCGGUGCUGUUUUAGAUACAUGUAUCUAAAAUACAGUAUCUAGGUACUUUUUUUUUCAUAUCUUUUAUCUGUAUCUAGAUACUUUAUACAAAUAUACGUCUGUACCCGUAUCUUAGAUACAAAAUAUUGUGUAUCUAAGAUACUUUUUAAGAUACAAUUAUUACAUUUUUGGUUCGAAAAAAUACAAAAAUAAAACGUACAAUUCUAAAAUUUAAUUUUGUUUAAAUAAAAAUAUCAACAGUUUAUUGCGAUAAGUAUUAUUUUCUGCUUUCUUUAUUAUUAUAAAUUAUUAUGUACGAGUAUUGUGUUUUAACAAGUAGAUAAUACACAUAAUUUAUUUUAUAUUUACCAAUAAUUAACCAAUGUAUUAAAAUUGUUAUGUAUUGACAAUGACUGUAUUAUAACAAUAGCAUUAUAAGAAUAAGAAUAUAUUUGAAAACUGAUGUAAAAAUAUAGAUGAAAAUUAUUGUAUUGUAAAUU